Molecule: unclassified non-coding RNA, 476 nt
Filed under: Hevea brasiliensis (rubber tree)
Lineage: Eukaryota; Viridiplantae; Streptophyta; Magnoliopsida; Malpighiales; Euphorbiaceae
Source: RNAcentral
AGGUUUUGCUUUUAGCUUCAGGAUUGAAGAACGUUUCGAUAGCAGCAUUGUUGCAGCCCGAUUCUCUAAUGCACAUGCUAUGAUUUCUCAACUUCCCAAACUGAGUAUCACCAGGUGAUGCCUUAAUGUUUUCUACAUUUUGACCUGCAUUUUUCACUCUGACAUUCACUGAGGAAAAAACAUGAGCUAGACAUUUAGAAGCCAGUUGGCCCUGUGUAGCAUUUUCGGUCCAUCUUUCUGAUUCAACAAGCGCCUCCACAGACAAACAAUUUGGUAGCUCGGAAUCUUUAAGCUCCUGGUGCAUCCAGGAUUUGGAGGUAGCUCGAGGGACAGUGUCAUGCUCAUGAUUAAUUUGACCAGAAGGAGAAACUUCUUUGUCCAUUUUAUCACCCUCUCCAUCCGCAGCAAGAAGCUCCCCCUGCUGCUCUGUCAGGCCAUUAAAUUUCUCUGAUCGAGGUAACAAAAACUGAUGUUUG